Quercus robur (English oak) is the source of this 324-nucleotide long non-coding RNA. RefSeq lists it as uncharacterized. The record is from RefSeq and is a predicted model, not a curated record. Lineage: Eukaryota; Viridiplantae; Streptophyta; Magnoliopsida; Fagales; Fagaceae. The transcript is spliced from 3 exons.
UUUCUCAUAUACGCUAGAUCCUCCUGCCGCCGCCGCCACCACCAUGAAUCACUGCCACUACAUCGAUUUCUCUUUGCCUCUCCAUCGUCGUUCAAUCCAGCCCAUCAUAUUCUAUAUCGGCAAAUUAUUUUGAGAAACCAGUAGGCUGUAAUAGUUCUUCAUCGCAUGAGAGGAGAAUAGAGGCAACCCCAUUACCCUCAAAGUGUUCGGCAAAGUGCUAAGAAUGAUGAAAAGAACUGAGAAGGAAAAAGGACUUUGUUUAGGAGACACUUGAAAUAGGAAAGAAGCCUAAAGGUUGCUUCUAAUGUUGCUGCACUUGGAUGA